UACAUGGGGUGCAAACGUUGCUCGGAAUUAUUGGGCGUAAAGCGCACGUAGGUGGUCUGUUAUGUCAGAUGUGAAAGCCCUCGGCUUAACUGAGGAAGUGCACCUGAAACUGGCAGGCUUGAGUACGAAAGAGGGUCGCGGAAUUCCCGGUGUAGAGGUGAAAUUCGUAGAUAUCGGGAAGAACACCGGUGGCGAAGGCGGCGACCUGGUCCGAUACUGACGCUGAGGCGCGAAAGCGUGGGGAGCAAACAGG
This 253-nucleotide ribosomal RNA is filed under the name uncultured bacterium. RNAcentral's name for it is "partial 16S ribosomal RNA". It matches the Rfam family "Bacterial small subunit ribosomal RNA", at positions 524 to 776 of the family's 1533-position model. The record is from RNAcentral.